Molecule: ribosomal RNA, 497 nt
Filed under: uncultured bacterium
Lineage: Bacteria
Description: partial 16S ribosomal RNA
Rfam family: Bacterial small subunit ribosomal RNA
Source: RNAcentral
GAUGAACGCUGGCGGCGUGCCUAAUACAUGCAAGUCGAGCGAACAGACGAGGAGCUUGCUCCUCUGACGUUAGCGGCGGACGGGUGAGUAACACGUGGAUAACCUACCUAUAAGACUGGGAUAACUUCGGGAAACCGGAGCUAAUACCGGAUAAUAUAUUGAACCGCAUGGUUCAAUAGUGAAAGACGGUUUUGCUGUAACUUAUAGAUGGAUCCGCGCCGCAUUAGCUAGUUGGUAAGGUAACGGCUUACCAAGGCAACGAUGCGUAGCCGACCUGAGAGGGUGAUCGGCCACACUGGAACGGAGACACGGUCCAGACUCCUACGGGAGGCAGCAGUAGGGAAUCUGCCGCAAUGGGCGAAAGCCUGACGGAGCAACGCCGCGUGAGUGAUGAAGGUCUUCGGAUCGUAAAACUCUGUUAUUAGGGAAGAACAAAUGUGUAAGUAACUAUGCACGUCUUGACGGUACCUAGUCAGAAAGCCACGGCUAACUACGUG